This is a long non-coding RNA of Rattus norvegicus (Norway rat), 745 nucleotides long. RefSeq lists it as uncharacterized. The record is from RefSeq and is a predicted model, not a curated record. NCBI's taxonomy places the organism in Eukaryota, Metazoa, Chordata, Mammalia, Rodentia, Muridae.
AGAAGAGCCGUCUCUGAGGUGGGGUAUUUAGAGCACCCUGGGCUCCAGAAAAGCUGCUCAAGGCCUUUAAUGAGAAGAUGUGAAGGGACUCACAGGAUUCUGGGAACAGGGAACGCUCCUCCAGUGACAGAGAAACAGCUCCUGGCCACCUCCUGUGCAGAAGAUGACCCAGCCAUGCCUUCCCUUCAGCUCUCUGUGAGUUGUUGAACAUUAGAAUUCCCCCCAGAGUCUAGCAACCUUGGCAUGACACAGACGUCCACAGGACAGAAGCAGAAGAAUCCCUCAGAUCCUCCCGCAUGAGGUUCAGCAAGCCUUAAGAUGGUUCUCCUUCUCUCAGGGCCCAAAGGUCCAGAGUGGCAUCUACCUCCAAUGCUGGGCGUUAGCUGGUACCAGGUCCACCCCGUGGCUGGCAAUUCUUCUCAAGAUGCCCUCAGGAAAUCCAAGCUUCAGCAGGGCCCCCUCCAAGGCAGGCACCCUGUGCUUCUUCUUCACCACAGGUACAACGUUGAAGCGGAUCUUCCUCCAGCCGCUGGACACCUGCAGGGACAGGCGCAUCUGCCCUCCCUUCAAGCUAGCAGCAUUCAGUGAACCUGCAACAAGCCACCAUUAAUCUAGGCCCCCUCUGCUGAGCCUAACCCUGCGUUGGUCCGGGAUACCCUACCUGCUGUCUUAAAUGCCCUUCCCUGAAUCUGCUUCCCUUCUGCCUACCCAUCCACACUGAGGUAUUACGUAACCCACCAGCCAA